Molecule: ribosomal RNA, 1529 nt
Filed under: Escherichia coli
Lineage: Bacteria; Pseudomonadati; Pseudomonadota; Gammaproteobacteria; Enterobacterales; Enterobacteriaceae
Description: bacterial SSU rRNA
Rfam family: Bacterial small subunit ribosomal RNA
Source: RNAcentral
UUGAAGAGUUUGAUCAUGGCUCAGAUUGAACGCUGGCGGCAGGCCUAACACAUGCAAGUCGAACGGUAACAGAAAGCAGCUUGCUGCUUUGCUGACGAGUGGCGGACGGGUGAGUAAUGUCUGGGAAACUGCCUGAUGGAGGGGGAUAACUACUGGAAACGGUAGCUAAUACCGCAUAACGUCGCAAGACCAAAGAGGGGGACCUUCGGGCCUCUUGCCAUCGGAUGUGCCCAGAUGGGAUUAGCUUGUUGGUGGGGUAACGGCUCACCAAGGCGACGAUCCCUAGCUGGUCUGAGAGGAUGACCAGCCACACUGGAACUGAGACACGGUCCAGACUCCUACGGGAGGCAGCAGUGGGGAAUAUUGCACAAUGGGCGCAAGCCUGAUGCAGCCAUGCCGCGUGUAUGAAGAAGGCCUUCGGGUUGUAAAGUACUUUCAGCGGGGAGGAAGGGAGUAAAGUUAAUACCUUUGCUCAUUGACGUUACCCGCAGAAGAAGCACCGGCUAACUCCGUGCCAGCAGCCGCGGUAAUACGGAGGGUGCAAGCGUUAAUCGGAAUUACUGGGCGUAAAGCGCACGCAGGCGGUUUGUUAAGUCAGAUGUGAAAUCCCCGGGCUCAACGGGAACUGCAUCUGAUACUGGCAAGCUUGAGUCUCGUAGAGGGGUAGAAUUCCGUGUAGCGGUGAAAUGCGUAGAGAUCUGGAGGAAUACCGGUGGCGAAGGCGGCCCCGGACGAAGACUGACGCUCAGGUGCGAAAGCGUGGGGAGCAAACAGGAUUAGAUACCCGGUAGUCCACGCCGUAAACGAUGUCGACUUGGAGGUUGUGCCCUUGAGGCGUGGCUUCCGGAGCUAACGCGUUAAGUCGACCGCCUGGGGAGUACGGCCGCAAGGUUAAAACUCAAAUGAAUUGACGGGGGCCCGCACAAGCGGUGGAGCAUGUGGUUUAAUUCGAUGCAACGCGAAGAACCUUACCUGGUCUUGACAUCCACGGAAGUUUUCAGAGAUGAGAAUGUGCCUUCGGGAACCGUGAGACAGGUGCUGCAUGGCUGUCGUCAGCUCGUGUUGUGAAAUGUUGGGUUAAGUCCCGCAACGAGCGCAACCCUUAUCCUUUGUUGCCAGCGGUCCGGCCGGGAACUCAAAGGAGACUGCCAGUGAUAAACUGGAGGAAGGUGGGGAUGACGUCAAGUCAUCAUGGCCCUUACGACCAGGGCUACACACGUGCUACAAUGGCGCAUACAAAGAGAAGCGACCUCGCGAGAGCAAGCGGACCUCAUAAAGUGCGUCGUAGUCCGGAUUGGAGUCUGCAACUCGACUCCAUGAAGUCGGAAUCGCUAGUAAUCGUGGAUCAGAAUGCCACGGUGAAUACGUUCCCGGGCCUUGUACACACCGCCCGUCACACCAUGGGAGUGGGUUGCAAAAGAAGUAGGUAGCUUAACCUUCGGGAGGGCGCUUACCACUUUGUGAUUCAUGACUGGGGUGAAGUCGUAACAAGGUAACCGUAGGGGAACCUGCGGUUGGAUCACCUCCUU